CGGGGGGCUGCAGCAGUGGGGAAUAUUGCACAAUGGAGGAAACUCUGAUGCAGCAACGCCGCGUGGAGGAUGACACUUUUCGGAGCGUAAACUCCUUUUAUAUAGGAAGAAGAUGACGGUACUAUAUGAAUAAGCGCCGGCUAACUCCGUGCCAGCAGCCGCGGUAAUACGGAGGGCGCAAGCGUUACUCGGAAUCACUGGGCGUAAAGAGCGUGUAGGCGGAUUAAAAAGUCAGAAGUGAAAUCCUAUAGCUUAGCUAUAGAACUGCUUCUGAAACUCUUAAUCUAGAAUAUGGGAGAGGUAGAUGGAAUUUCUGGUGUAGGGGUAAAAUCCGUAGAGAUCAGAAGGAAUACCGAUUGCGAAGGCGAUCUACUAGAACAUUAUUGACGCUGAGACGCGAAAGCGUGGGGAGCAAACAGGAUUAGAUACCCUGGUAGUC
Molecule: ribosomal RNA, 439 nt
Filed under: uncultured bacterium
Lineage: Bacteria
Description: partial 16S ribosomal RNA
Rfam family: Bacterial small subunit ribosomal RNA
Source: RNAcentral